UGGCCUACCUAGCCUAUGAUGGAUAGGGGUUCUGAGAGGAAGGUCCCCCACAUGGGAACUGCGACACGGUCCAAACUCCUACGGGAGGCAGCAGUGAGGAAUAUUGGUCAAUGGCCGGAAGGCUGAACCAGCCAAGUAGCGUGCAGGAUGACUGCCUUAUGGGCUGUAAACUGCUUUUUUACGGGAAUAAUUAUGAUCACGUGUGAUUAUUUGCAUGUACCGUAAGAAUAAGGAUCGGCUAACUCCGUGCCAGCAGCCGCGGUAAUACGGAGGAUCCUAGUGUUAUCCGGAUUUAUUGGGUUUAAAGGGAGCGUAGGCGGGAGGUCAAGUCAGCUGUGAAAUGUAUCUGCUUAACGGGUACACUGCAGUUGAAACUGGUUUUCUUGAGUGCGUAAGAGGCAGGCGGAAUUCGUUGUGUAGCGGUGAAAUGCUUAGAUAUGACGAGGAACUCCUAUUGCGAAGGCAGCUUGCUGGGUCGUUACUGACGCUGAUGCUCGAAGGUGCGGGGAUCAAACAGGAUUAGAUACCCUGGUAGUCCGCACAGUAAACUAUGGAUACUCUCUGCCGGCGAUACAUUGUCGGUGGCCAAGCGAAAGCGUUAAGUAUCCCACCUGGGGAGUACGUUCGCAAGAAUGAAACUCAAAGGAAUUGACGGGGGCCCGCACAAGCGGAGGAACAUGUGGUUUAAUUCGAUGAUACGCGAGGAACCUUACCCGGGCUCGAACGGUGCAUGAAUAUACGAGAGAUUGUAUAGUCCUUCGGGACAUGUAUCGAGGUGCUGCAUGGUUGUCGUCAGCUCGUGCCGUGAGGUGUCGGCUUAAGUGCCAUAACGAGCGCAACCCUUGUCAUUAGUUGCCAUCAGNCCAAGCUGGGGACUUUAAUGAGACUGCCACCGUAAGGUGUGAGGAAGGGGGGGAUGACGUCAAAUCAGCACGGCCCUUAUGUCCGGGGCGACACACGUGUUACAAUGGGANNUACAGAGGGCAGCUAUCCGGUGACGGAAUGCUAAUCUCCAAAACCUUUCUCAGUUCGGAUUGGAGUCUGCAACUCGACUCCAUGAAGGUGGAUUCGCUAGUAAUCGCGCAUCAGCCAUGGCGCGGUGAAUACGUUCCCGGGCCUUGCACUCACCGCCCGUCAAG
RNAcentral lists this ribosomal RNA (1139 nucleotides) under uncultured bacterium. RNAcentral's name for it is "bacterial SSU rRNA". It matches the Rfam family "Bacterial small subunit ribosomal RNA", at positions 261 to 1401 of the family's 1533-position model. The record is from RNAcentral.